RNAcentral lists this ribosomal RNA (481 nucleotides) under uncultured bacterium. Its description in RNAcentral is "partial 16S ribosomal RNA". It matches the Rfam family "Bacterial small subunit ribosomal RNA", at positions 28 to 507 of the family's 1533-position model. The record is from RNAcentral.
GACGAACGUUGGCGGCGUGCUUAAUACAUGCCAGUCAACUGAAGCAGUGGUAGCAAUAUCGCUGUGGAGGUGGCGCACGGGUGAGUAACACGUAGGUAAUCUGCCUUCAGGUCUGGCAUAACUCCGGGAAACCGGGGCUAAUAGCAGAUGAUGCAGCGGCUCGACAUCGAGACAGUUGUUAAAGCUAUGGCGCCUGAAGAUGAGCCUGCGUCUGAUUAGCUAGUUGGCGGGGUAACGGCCCACCAAGGCAACGAUCAGUAGCUGGUCUGAGAGGAUGAUCAGCCACACUGGAACUGAGACACGGUCCAGACUCCUACGGGAGGCAGCAGUAAGGAAUAUUGCUCAAUGGGAGAAAUCCUGAAGCAGCAACGCCGCGUGAGGGACGAAGGGCUUUGGCUUGUAAACCUCUGUAGUGAGAGAAAAAAAUCCCAAUCUUUGGGACAUGAUGGUAUCUCAAAAGUAAGCCCCGGCUAACUACGUG